AGACCAAGGGUUCCUGUCCAACGUUAAUCGGGGCAGGGUGAGUCGACCCCUAAGGCGAGGCCGAAAGGCGUAGUCGAUGGGAAACAGGUUAAUAUUCCUGUACUUGGUGUUACUGCGAAGGGGGGACGGAGAAGGCUAUGUUGGCCGGGCGACGGUUGUCCCGGUUUAAGCGUGUAGGCUGGUUUUCCAGGCAAAUCCGGAAAAUCAAGGCUGAGGCGUGAUGACGAGGCACUACGGUGCUGAAGCGACAAAUGCCCUGCUUCCAGGAAAAGCCUCUAAGCAUCAGGUAACAUCAAAUCGUACCCCAAACCGACACAGGUGGUCAGGUAGAGAAUACCAAGGCGCUUGAGAGAACUCGGGUGAAGGAACUAGGCAAAAUGGUGCCGUAACUUCGGGAGAAGGCACGCUGAUAUGUAGGUGAAGCGACUUGCUCGUGGAGCUGAAAUCAGUCGAAGAUACCAGCUGGCUGCAACUGUUUAUUAAAAACACAGCACUGUGCAAACACGAAAGUGGACGUAUACGGUGUGACGCCUGCCCGGUGCCGGAAGGUUAAUUGAUGGGGUUAGCGGUAACGCGAAGCUCUUGAUCGAAGCCCCGGUAAACGGCGGCCGUAACUAUAACGGUCCUAAGGUAGCGAAAUUCCUUGUCGGGUAAGUUCCGACCUGCACGAAUGGCGUAAUGAUGGCCAGGCUGUCUCCACCCGAGACUCAGUGAAAUUGAACUCGCUGUGAAGAUGCAGUGUACCCGCGGCAAGACGGAAAGACCCCGUGAACCUUUACUAUAGCUUGACACUGAACAUUGAGCCUUGAUGUGUAGGAUAGGUGGGAGGCUUUGAAGUGUGGACGCCAGUCUGCAUGGAGCCGACCUUGAAAUACCACCCUUUAAUGUUUGAUGUUCUAACGUGGGCCCCUUACCGGGGUUGCGGACAGUGUCUGGUGGGUAGUUUGACUGGGGCGGUCUCCUCCUAAAGAGUAACGGAGGAGCACGAAGGUUGGCUAAUCCUGGUCGGACAUCAGGAGGUUAGUGCAAUGGCAUAAGCCAGCUUGACUGCGAGCGUGACGGCGCGAGCAGGUGCGAAAGCAGGUCAUAGUGAUCCGGUGGUUCUGAAUGGAAGGGCCAUCGCUCAACGGAUAAAAGGUACUCCGGGGAUAACAGGCUGAUACCGCCCAAGAGUUCAUAUCGACGGCGGUGUUUGGCACCUCGAUGUCGGCUCAUCACAUCCUGGGGCUGAAGUAGGUCCCAAGGGUAUGGCUGUUCGCCAUUUAAAGUGGUACGCGAGCUGGGUUUAGAACGUCGUGAGACAGUUCGGUCCCUAUCUGCCGUGGGCGCUGGAGAACUGAGGGGGGCUGCUCCUAGUACGAGAGGACCGGAGUGGACGCAUCACUGGUGUUCGGGUUGUCAUGCCAAUGGCACUGCCCGGUAGCUAAAUGCGGAAGAGAUAAGUGCUGAAAGCAUCUAAGCACGAAACUUGCCCCGAGAUGAGUUCUCCCUGACUCCUUGAGAGUCCUGAAGGAACGUUGAAGACGACGACGUUGAUAGGCCGGGUGUGUAAGCGCAGCGAUGCGUUGAGCUAACCGGUACUAAUGAACCGUGAGGCUUAACCUUACAACGCCGAAG
RNAcentral lists this ribosomal RNA (1617 nucleotides) under Escherichia coli. RNAcentral describes it as "partial 23S ribosomal RNA". It matches the Rfam family "Bacterial large subunit ribosomal RNA", at positions 1342 to 2925 of the family's 2925-position model. Lineage: Bacteria; Pseudomonadati; Pseudomonadota; Gammaproteobacteria; Enterobacterales; Enterobacteriaceae. The record is from RNAcentral.